UACGGGAGGCAGCAGUGGGGAAUAUUGCACAAUGGGCGCAAGCCUGAUGCAGCCAUGCCGCGUGUAUGAAGAAGGCCUUCGGGUUGUAAAGUACUUUCAGUCGUGAGGAAGGUGUUAAGGUUAAUAACCUUAGCAAUUGACGUUAGCGACAGAAGAAGCACCGGCUAACUCCGUGCCAGCAGCCGCGGUAAUACGGAGGGUGCGAGCGUUAAUCGGAAUUACUGGGCGUAAAGGGCACGCAGGCGGUUAAUUAAGUUGGAUGUGAAAUCCCGGGCUUAACCUGGGAAUGGCAUUCAAGACUGGUUAGCUAGAGUCUUGUAGAGGGGGUAGAAUUCCAUGUGUAGCGGUGAAAUGCGUAGAGAUGUGGAGGAAUACCGGGUGGCGAAGGCGGCCCCUGGGACAAAGACUGACGCUCAUGUGCGAAAGCGUGGGGAGCAAACAGGAUUAGAUACC
Molecule: ribosomal RNA, 453 nt
Filed under: uncultured bacterium
Lineage: Bacteria
Description: bacterial SSU rRNA
Rfam family: Bacterial small subunit ribosomal RNA
Source: RNAcentral